AGAAUGGUUUAGGUAUAAAAAUAUGUUAUAGAAAUGCUUUCUCAUGGCGAGCUCGUUCUGUAUAUUGCUCCAAAUAGGUAGGAAAUUGUACUCUAUACUAUUUCGAAUAACUUUAUCCAGCAAUGACAUAAAGAAAAUCUGAAUUGGGAAACAAAAUUUGUCUUUUCGUUUUUCUUUCUUAUCGUAAAAAUCCGUCGUCCGGAUUUGCAUUCAAUAUCGUUCAACAAAUAUAACUCUUCAAAUGCAAAAUACACAUUUAAACAUUAGAUUAAUAAGUUUAAUAAGUUAUUCAAUCAGAGAAAAGCAAAAUGCAAGCGUCGUGUUUUUUUAAGGGUAGGAAGAAGAAAAGAAUCCUGUUUAAUUCCAUUCUAACGUCCACAUUUAAAUUCAUUGUCAAAAUGCAUUCGUUUCAUAAUUUUAGAUUAUUCAUAAAAUAUAAUGAAAUUUUUAGGCAUUUUGAGGAAUGUUUUGGUUUCGUUGUAAACUUUUUUCGUACAAGAAUGCAAAAUAUUUCCUCUAGCUGCAUUCAAACACUCUUAACACGGUUGAUUUCUUUUACUUUUAUAUUUAUUGCCUUGUUAUGCUGUUUUUAAUUAAUGUUUUUUGUUUUGUUUUGGGGGGGAGGUAUUUUGUUUACAACCAAACAUUUAAAAAAGAAAACUAUUCAAUAAAUAAACAUAAAUUUUUGUGCGCGUGCACAGUUAUAGGAUUAUGUCCGUUCGUUAUGCUAUAUUAUGUAUUUAUGUGUAUGCGUGUGUAUGUAUAUGUAUACAUACCUACAUAUAUAUAUUCAUAUAUAUGUAAUACAUGUGCAUAUGUAUAUAUAUAUAAAUAUUUGUGUGCGUGUGUGUAUACAUAUAUAUUCAAAUAUAUGUAAUACAGGUGCAUAUGUAUGUGUAUAUAUAUAUAUAUAUAAAUAUUUGUGUGUGCGCGCGCGUGUAUAUAUAUAUAUAUAUAUAUAUAUAUAUAUAUAUAUAUAUGCAAUUAAUGACCUACUGCAUGCUAACAUUAUGUAAAUAAAUGCGUAAUAUCAUGGAGGUGAAGUGGAAGCCGCAUAAAUUUUGCGCAAUGAAAACUGAAUUUAAGAAAAAAAAAUGGAGAUAUUUUUUAAAUGAUUCAAAAAAUUAUCGUAGAGUUAGAAAACAAUAUUUUUCUCUACAUGUUGAGCUUUAACCAAAUACUUUCCUUCUGAUUUUGUAAAAAAAAAUUUGUAACAUUUUCUGAUAAAAUUUUCCUUAAUUUUUCUUUUUAAUUUCUUUUUUUUUUUUUUUCGCUCCAGAUUUUGCGCCUUUUUAACUCUUUUGUUGGAGAGUUUCGUUUUGCAAUCUAUUUUUCGUAUAUCAUUUCAAAUAAUUUUCUUUUUCUUUUAGUUUGCUUUCUCUCCCUCAUUUUCUAUUUACCUAUAUAUCUGUCUAUCUAUCUCUCUUGUAUUUCCCAAAAGUUUAUGGCGAUUUGAUCUUUCUAAAACGCAUAUUUUUGUUUGUUCUUGAUAUUGUUAUCUAUAUAUUUUAUUUUCUACCUGCUACUGUAUUUUAACAUUGUUAUAUUUGAGAUAUUCUUCGUGCGCAUGUUUACCAAACGUUUGUUUAUAAAUGUUCAGUGUAAUCAUGAGAGGUGUUGAGCUGAUGCAAGCAUACAUGUGUAUCAGUGUGUGUUAGCGUGCGUGUGUGAGUGCGUGAGUGUGUGCGUAUACGCAUAUGUGUGUUAUAUGCGAACACCACUAAUGUCAUAAGCUUAUGUAUAUGUGCGCAAGUGCGAAUGCACAUAAAAACAGAACAUGAAUACAUGUUUAUAUUUGGCUUAGAUACGUAAACAUAUACAUGCAUGUAUCGAUAUGUGUGUGUAUAUAUAUAUUUAUAUACAUGCAUAAGUAUAUGUGUGUUUGACUGUGUAUACAUCUAGGAAGAGAGGAAGUGAGAUAAUCAGAUAUAUGUAUAGAUAGAUAUACAUAUAUGUUCAUAAGUGUUUGUCUGAGCGUGGUACAUGCAAAUAUCUAGACUCAUAUAGAUUAUGUAAUGUCUACACAAGAAGCAUAUAUAUAUAUAUUAUUAGAGUGAACCAAUUUCAAUUUACGGUUUUAUUUUACAGAAGAUUUCCUAAAAACUUUAUUCUUCUAACCUCCAAAAAUACAAGUAAAAUAAUUCUCAAACGUUCAAACGCACAUAGACAUACUUAUUCCCAACACCAAUACAAACACACGCAAGAGCAGACGAACAGUCACAAAACACAUAAGCAUAUAUAUAUAUAUAUAUAUAUAUACUUAUAAACAUAUAUAUACUUAUAAACAUAUAUAUCUGUGUAUGUAUUGCUGAACUGAGGUUAUUCUGAGUCGUUGCAGUAAAUUAUCGCAGCCUCACCACACUAGACAUUCAUUCUUUAUACAUUUAUUUAUUACUUUUACGCAGUGUAAGUAUAUAUACAUAUAUACACGUGUACAUAUACAGACAUAUACACAUAUAUCUACAUAUCUAUACACAUAGAACUAUGCGCAUAUAUAUAUAUAUAUAUAUAUAUAUACCCUUACACAUCUGCAUACACAUAUAAAUUUACUAAUACAUCUACAUAGAAAUGUGUCCGCACAUUCAUACAUAUAUGCAUAUGAAU
This 2604-nucleotide long non-coding RNA is filed under the name Octopus vulgaris (common octopus). Lineage: Eukaryota; Metazoa; Mollusca; Cephalopoda; Octopoda; Octopodidae. The record is from RNAcentral.